ACACGAUAAUGGCAAACCUGUCGAAAGGCAGGGACGCAAAGCUACAGGGCCUGUAAAUUUUUUACUGGCAGCCAGUUACCGAA
RNAcentral lists this non-coding RNA (83 nucleotides) under Paenibacillus macerans. Its description in RNAcentral is "c-di-GMP sequence". It matches the Rfam family "c-di-GMP-I-GGC riboswitch aptamer". The record is from RNAcentral. Lineage: Bacteria; Bacillati; Bacillota; Bacilli; Caryophanales; Paenibacillaceae.